RNAcentral lists this non-coding RNA (141 nucleotides) under Paenibacillus mucilaginosus. Its description in RNAcentral is "TPP sequence". It matches the Rfam family "TPP riboswitch aptamer (THI element)". From Rfam's summary of the family: Vitamin B(1) in its active form thiamin pyrophosphate (TPP) is an essential coenzyme that is synthesised by coupling of pyrimidine and thiazole moieties in bacteria. The previously detected thiamin-regulatory element, thi box was extended, resulting in a new, highly conserved RNA secondary structure, the THI element, which is widely distributed in eubacteria and also occurs in some archaea. RNAcentral also lists the same sequence under 1 other name. Lineage: Bacteria; Bacillati; Bacillota; Bacilli; Caryophanales; Paenibacillaceae. The record is from RNAcentral.
AAUAGCCACUAGGGGAGCCUCUGACAUGCGGGGCUGAGAAAAAGAAGCGGAUUCUUUGACCCUUGGAACCUGAUACGGCAGCCCGAAGAAGUAAGGGCGUCACUGGAUUAUGCCAGCGUAGGGAAGUGGUCGAAUGCUAGC